UGGGGAAUUUUGGACAAUGGGCGAAAGCCUGAUCCAGCAAUGCCGCGUGUGUGAAGAAGGCCUUCGGGUUGUAAAGCACUUUUGUCCGGAAAGAAAUCCUCUGGGUUAAUACCUCGGGGGGAUGACGGUACCGGAAGAAUGAGCACCGGCUAACUACGUGCCAGCAGCCGCGGUAAUACGUAGGGUGCAAGCGUUAAUCGGAAUUACUGGGCGUAAAGCGUGCGCAGGCGGUUUUGUAAGACGGAUGUGAAAUCCCCGGGCUUAACCUGGGAACUGCAUUCGUGACUGCAAGGCUAGAGUAUGGCAGAGGGGGGUAGAAUUCCACGUGCAGCAGUGAAAUGCGUAGAGAUGUGGAGGAAUACCGAUGGCGAAGGCAGCCCCCUGGGCCAAUACUGACGCUCAUGCACGAAAGCGUGGGGGAGCAAACAGGAUUAGAUACCCUGGUAGUCCACGCCCUAAACGAUGUCAACUAGUUGUUGGGGAUUCAAUUUCCUUAGUAACGUAGCUAA
Molecule: ribosomal RNA, 509 nt
Filed under: uncultured bacterium
Lineage: Bacteria
Description: partial 16S ribosomal RNA
Rfam family: Bacterial small subunit ribosomal RNA
Source: RNAcentral